AGCAACUUCCAGUCCUGCAAGCUUCAUUCCUGGAUGGUAGAAAGCAGUCUUCAGCCUGAGACCCAUCCCUAGGACAUAAUUGGAAGAACUGGUUAUUUUACUGAAGCUUUGACUGGAAUGUUAUGGUUUCCUUUAUGGAAUCAAACUUGACUUAUGGAUCAGAUAAAAGCCCCUUGGGAAAACUGGCCUCAUACCUUGUCUACACAAUCCCUGUACAGGGUUCCUGAUCUAUGACUCUAUGGCACAAAGAGGCACUACAGAAAAUCCCAGAAUUUAUUCUGACUGAAGCAAUAUGCAACUGGCAAAACUGGCAGCUGAAAGGAUCCUGAAUCAGAAGGAUUUUAAAUGCCGUUUUGGCACAGGAUGUCAGAGCACAAGCAUGGUGAAGAGGAAUCUGUGUCAGCAAGAAGGUGGAAGAGAUAUGACAUUGGUCAAACAGAGAAUUGAUAAAAUAAGAAAACAAGUUGAAAAAAUAAAACCAGGUGCCAAAUUUCUCAAAGCCAGAGAAUGGAUUAAAAAUAUCGAAUGGAAAUAAACAAGUAUGAAGCCUGA
This is a long non-coding RNA of Gorilla gorilla gorilla (western lowland gorilla), 552 nucleotides long. RefSeq lists it as uncharacterized. The transcript has 5 exons. The record is from RefSeq and is a predicted model, not a curated record. Lineage: Eukaryota; Metazoa; Chordata; Mammalia; Primates; Hominidae.